This 87-nucleotide transfer RNA is filed under the name Gemmatimonadota bacterium. Its description in RNAcentral is "Gemmatimonadetes bacterium (activated sludge metagenome) tRNA-Ser". It matches the Rfam family "tRNA". From Rfam's summary of the family: Transfer RNA (tRNA) molecules are approximately 80 nucleotides in length. Their secondary structure includes four short double-helical elements and three loops (D, anti-codon, and T loops). The record is from RNAcentral. RNAcentral also lists the same sequence under 2 other names. Lineage: Bacteria; Pseudomonadati; Gemmatimonadota.
GGACAGGUGUCCGAGUGGCUGAAGGAGCCGGUCUCGAAAACCGGUAAACCGGCAACGGUUUCGAGGGUUCGAAUCCCUCCCUGUCCG